GCAUCCCAGGGUGGGAAUUAAGUUUUGGUCCAAUUUGGUAAACUUAGUACAAUGUAAUAAUUUAGGUAAAUACUCAAUUCCUUUCAUUUUUCAGAUUUCUUCUCCCUACUUCUGCUCCUAUGCAACUUGGCCUCUGGGGAUUUGGCAAUGGACAGAAUCUGUGGCUCAUCAGUUUUGUGGCACUGUCAGCAGGAUAAGGGGCCUUUUGAAUCCUCACUGGUCACUGUGGCAGGAGGGUUGUUGUCUGCUCUCUGCACGGGACCCACUGAAGAAGCCAUUCUGAUGGUUAUGUGGAAGUAUCUCAUUAUAAUUUAGAUUUAAAUUGAAUGGAUGAAUACAUAUCAGUCAAAUCACACAGCGGACUACCAUUCAGCCAAAGAGAAAGAACAACAUGUAACUACAUGCAACAAUAUGGAUGAAUUUCACAAAUGUAAUUGAUGGAAGAAGCUGGACACAAAGGCAUAUAUACGGCCCUGAGGAUGAAUGUGUGAAGAAAACGGACAAGAUCCUUGCUCUCAUGGAGCUUACAUUCUGGCUGGGGAAGAGAGAUCAUAAGUAAAUAUAUAAACAAGAAAAUGAUCAGAUACUGGAAAGUGCUAAGAAGAGAAUUAAAGCAAGUGACAGAA
Long non-coding RNA from Manis pentadactyla (Chinese pangolin), 626 nucleotides. RefSeq lists it as uncharacterized. The transcript has 3 exons. The record is from RefSeq and is a predicted model, not a curated record. NCBI's taxonomy places the organism in Eukaryota, Metazoa, Chordata, Mammalia, Pholidota, Manidae.